AUUGAACGCUGGCGGAAUGCUUUACACAUGCAAGUCGAACGGUAGAGGGGGCAACCCCUUGAGAGUGGCGAACGGGUGAGUAAUAUAUCGGAACGUGCCCAGUCGUGGGGAUAACGUAGCGAAAGUUACGCUAAUACCGCAUACGAUCUACGGAUGAAAGCGGGGGACUCGCAAGAGCCUCGCGCGAUUGGAGCGGCCGAUAUCAGAUUAGGUAGUUGGUGGGGUAAAGGCUCACCAAGCCAACGAUCUGUAGCUGGUCUGAGAGGACGACCAGCCACACUGGAACUGAGACACGGUCCAGACUCCUACGGGAGGCAGCAGUGGGGAAUUUUUGGACAAUGGGCGCAAGCCUGAUCCAGCCAUGCCGCGUGUGUGAAGAAGGCCUUCGGUUGUAAGNACUUUGUUGGGUAGAAAG
Molecule: ribosomal RNA, 415 nt
Filed under: uncultured bacterium
Lineage: Bacteria
Description: bacterial SSU rRNA
Rfam family: Bacterial small subunit ribosomal RNA
Source: RNAcentral